UUUAUUGGAGAGUUUGAUCCUGGCUCAGGAUGAACGCUGGCGGCGUGCCUAAUACAUGCAAGUCGAGCGAAUGGAUUAAGAGCUUGCUCUUAUGAAGUUAGCGGCGGACGGGU
This 113-nucleotide ribosomal RNA is filed under the name Bacillus sp. BPN334. Its description in RNAcentral is "partial 16S ribosomal RNA". It matches the Rfam family "Bacterial small subunit ribosomal RNA", at positions 1 to 107 of the family's 1533-position model. Lineage: Bacteria; Bacillati; Bacillota; Bacilli; Caryophanales; Bacillaceae. The record is from RNAcentral.